Molecule: small nucleolar RNA, 129 nt
Organism: Ochotona curzoniae (black-lipped pika)
Lineage: Eukaryota; Metazoa; Chordata; Mammalia; Lagomorpha; Ochotonidae
Product: small nucleolar RNA SNORA64/SNORA10 family
Exons: 1
Source: RefSeq, a predicted model, not a curated record
GCCCUCUCAGCUUCGCAUGAUGACGCCUGGCUUCCCUGGUGAUUUUCCCAGUGGAGAGAGAAAAGAUCCUCUCAGGACCUCACAGGGCCUUGUGGUGGCCUCUCUGUUCCUUGAAAGGGCAAAACAGAU